This 45-nucleotide ribosomal RNA is filed under the name Panonychus citri (citrus red mite). RNAcentral's name for it is "partial 18S ribosomal RNA". It matches the Rfam family "Eukaryotic small subunit ribosomal RNA", at positions 1788 to 1831 of the family's 1831-position model. Lineage: Eukaryota; Metazoa; Arthropoda; Arachnida; Trombidiformes; Tetranychidae. The record is from RNAcentral.
GUCGUAACAAGGUUUCCGUAGGUGAACCUGCGGAGGGAUCAUUAA